CGAAAGAAGAAGACAAAGUUUCAACAACUUUCUCCAAAUCAUCGACUCUUCUUGAAACAUCUUGACGCGAUCUUCAUUAUGGUGAACUGCUGUGGUCUUGUGUCUAAGAAAAAUGUGCCAGAUCUUUUGAAGAGAGUGUAGAGAUGUUUGUGUGUUUGGGCCAAGUGGCAACCUCCCGCUCCCUCUUUUGAAACCAACACGGAAGUGACUAAAACUGCAAUUCAUCGACUGGCCGCUGGAGGCUGGCUCCAAAAGGGAUUCAUGUUAUGUUAAAAUGAAAUGUUUGUUGAAAUGUUUUUUUCAAACUUUUUUUGUUAGUGCACUUUUGCAUGUUGUUGUCACUUUAUCUGAAUCUCUUCAGUUUUCAGUUUCUCAGGAUCUUGGGCUGAACUUGAUGCGUGGAUCCCUUUUUGUCUUCCUGACAUACAGGAGAGAAACACAUCUGAGAUUUAGUUUUAUUCCUUCAGUUAUUAGUUAAUUUGCCUCCUGCCAGUAAACGCUGAAGAACGGCAGCAGAAGUGAUGAACUGGAGUUUCUCUGGACAGAUGCUGUUUCUAUCCUAUUGAUGAAUGCAAUUUAGUUUGCUCCACACGAACUGUUAGCGACUCAAACUCGAUCUCUGCAGAUGCUGUGAGUUUGGUUUGAGUUUAUAAUGUUCAUCUGGGAACGCUAUGUGAGGCAUUUCAUCAGAUUUGUGAGAUAAAUACUUCAAACACAGGAAUAUAAUGUCUUUAAAUAUCAAAAAUAAAUCAAUAAAUAACAUCAAUAUCUUUAAAUAUGCUAACUGUUCAUCGCGAUUUCAAAAUAAAAGUUCAAGCCUUCGCUCUGAGUUUGUGUGUUUAAUGUCCACAUAUUCAAGAAAUGACAGUGACUGUAGCAUUCCUGUCAUAAAGAAAUAACCAAAUAUUAAAGAUUAAGUGGACAUUUGAAUGUUGUUUAGUCAAGGAUUGGAUUGGAGUGUAAAAACAAUCAUCAGGCCUCUGCAGGCAUUUGUUACAAUGCAUAAUGUACAUUAGUUAUAUUGUUUAUAAACAUAUUUUAACAGUUUUGUUAAAAAAAAAAAAAAAAAACGAUUACUUGCUUUUGAUAUUUUUAAUUAUUAUUGCAUUAAUUUCUGUUAUAUUAUGACUAUUGUUCACUUGGGUCUAUUUUUAUCACAAAAAUUCAUUAGUAAUUUACAUAUCCCCAAAUCCAUCAAUAGUAAAUGAGGCAAAGGUGUAGAGUUACGUUCAAGCUCAUCAUGAAGAAAUCAUUUUCACAGGAAAAAAAAAGAAGAAGUUUAAAUGUCAUUUUAAUGAUCAAAUAGGAGUUUUAAGGGAUAAAAUUAUUGACCACAGGGGGACUUUAACAGUAACAUGCUUUCCUGUAGCUCAAAUAGUAGAGCAUGGCGCUAGCAACGCCAAGAUCAUGGGUUCGAUUCCCAGGGAAAGCAAGAGCUGAUAAAAUGUAAAAACUGUAACUUGAAUGCAAUGUAAGUCGCUUUGGAUAAAAGCGUCUGCUAAAUGCAUAAAUGUAAAUGUAAAUAAAUGUAAAGUUGUUUGAUUCAGAGUGCAAGCACCAAUGGACCAAGCAAACACUUCAAUAGAUAAAUCAUGAUAUUUUGUAGAAAAUAUAAUGCAGUUUGCUAUAAUACUGGAAUGUCAAAAUAAAACACGAACGGUCAUCUUUAAGACAGCAUGUUAGAAAAAGUGAAUAAAUAGAAUAAUUCUUGGAAAGCAUUUCACUGAUUUCCGUGUACACUAAUUAGGCUAUAUAAAACUUUACUCUUGGUUCAUUCUAGUUAUAUAAAUGAAAUUAUUCUGUGCACAUGUGACCCAUGCUGGAAAAAUCAGUCACAAUGAGCAAAUUUUCAAAUUAGAUUCAGAUGAAUACUUGAAUUAGUUUCUUCUGAAAUUGGGACAAAUAAUGAACAAUGUCACUUUGUGUCAAGGCAGUUCAUUUUCUGUGUCUCAUGAUGUUAUCUGGAGUUUCUGUCUGUCCUAGAAGCCCAUCAGAGAGCAGCCGCGGCUGCUGGAGCUCCUCCACAGAAACUCUUUGAGGAUUGUAAUACACAAGACACAGAGGUGAUAACGCCCUCCAACAUGCGGAGGUACACACACACAAAGAAUCAUCUGGAGCUCGUCUCAUUGCACUGUGGGCUCAAAGUGAGUGUGUGGUGUGUGUCGGGCCGGUCGUGUUUCUGCUGUCACUUCUGGGGUUUGAUCGAGUCUCCUCGGGGCCAGCGGUCAGGUUAAAGAUAAAACGCAUUUAAAUCAAAUUUCAGCUCAAAACUCACUUUCAGACACCAGCAAGUGUCAGAAAUAACUUCCAAUUGUGAUCCGAUGGGGAUUUUCAAAUCUAAUGAUUCCUGACAGAGCAUAAAUGAUUAUAAUAGUGUUUGUGAAGGGGGGGGUGAUGAUCUCGCCAUGACCGUGAGAUCAAAAAAGGAGGCCAGAGAGGCAGCCGUGGCUGUUCUCCUCCAUGAGGAGGAGCUGGAGAGGAGAGACGAGGUAAGACACACACACACACACACACACACACACACACUGAAGCUCUGAAUCUGCUGUCAGAAACGCGUCUCCCACUGAAAUUCAGAUCCUUUCCACAUUAACACCUCAUCUCUGAUCUUCACAGCCCUCCAGCAGCUCCUCCUCACAGACGCUUGAUUAGGUAAGACUGAAAAGCCAAGCUUUUCUAUCAGCUCUUUCAUUCAGCAGACCCUUGUUUGCUAAAAUAGAAACAGUGAAUCUGAAUCUUAUCACAGGACGAGCUAAACUCUGAACUACAGACACUUUCAGAUCUGCUGCUGUGCAAAUGAUUCACCUCGGUUUCUGAUUCCCUUUCAUUUUCAGACGGAAGUGAAAGUGGAGGAGGAGGAUACAUUAAACCCCACCUGCAUUUUUGCACUGUUUCAGAUCUUUCUUUAAAUACUUUGUGCUGAAGGAAACUGUUGCACUAUUUUCUACUGGUAUGUGUCAGAGUAGGGGGAUACGCUUAUUAAAGAAAAAAAAAAGCCAAGUAUAGACCUAAUUAAACAUGCAGGGUUCUAUGCACUUAUAUUAUAUUUCUAGCACUUGUACAUGCAUUUAGACUGUGCUUACAAAUUCCAUUAAUAAUGUUAUGAGAUUAGUGUUUUAAAUAUAAAAAUUGGAAUAUAAAUAUGAAAUGAUAGGGGGAAAAAAAAGAAUAAUUUUAAAUUUGGAACUAAAAUUGCCAGUAGGUGGCGGCACACCACUGUCUUAUGUGAGUCAUUUAUUCAAUCGAUUCUUUCAAAAACAUUGAUUCAUUCUGGAAGGAGGUAAGAAACUGUGGCUGUGUCCGAAUAUGCUUACUUCUCUAUAUAGUAGGGGAAAAGCAGUAGGCGAGCGAAUAAGUAUGUGCGAAACCUCUGAAAGUUCCCGGAUGGCCUACUGCUUCAGCUCAGAUACUUGAGUGCUCAUCUGAUGGAUACUUUUCAAUCACAGGAGCCACGGGAGAGAAGACAUCAUAAAGAAGAAGAAGAAGAGGAUACGUCAUAAAGAAGAAGAGGAUACGUCAUAAUCGAACAUGGCGGAAAACUUGGAUGAGGGUGUUUACAAAUGUGAGUAUUACAAACCAAAAACACGGUUCCUUAUUUUAAAUUUGUAUUUGUUGAACUACUGUAGAGCAAACUGUUGAAAGCGUAAAGAUGCUAAAUGGUAUAGUAUAGUUGUGCUUUUGCUGUAAAAACACAUUUUAUUAUGUAUAGCUAACAAGGGGGGCUCCAGGAAGGACACGUACAUCUCCAAAGUAUAUUUACAUACAUUUUAAACCAUAUACAUCUUAAAUACGAUUACUAAAUAUCUAUUUAAUAUCCGGUUGGAAAAUCUUCAAUAUGAAUUUCAUAUGAGUAUGUCUAAUAGUUCCUAGAUAUGAAGUAGACAUCUGAGUGAUGUAUAUGUGUGCUAUUGUGUACAAUUAACUGCUGUCAGCACUGUUUGCAAUAGAUGAAUGUUAGUAAUGUAAAUACAUUUCCAUAAAGUAACUAAAUAUAAGUAAUCUAUUUUAUUUGUCCAUUAGUACUGUUGAUAAAUUGAGGAACAUUCGUGUUGGAUAAAAAGCUGCUUAACACAUCAUCAACUACCUCAACAUGUAAAUGUAGUUUUGAGCAGAUAAAUCUGAGAGGUAAC
Onychostoma macrolepis is the source of this 4127-nucleotide long non-coding RNA. RefSeq lists it as uncharacterized. The record is from RefSeq and is a predicted model, not a curated record. Lineage: Eukaryota; Metazoa; Chordata; Actinopteri; Cypriniformes; Cyprinidae. The transcript is spliced from 4 exons.